RNAcentral lists this ribosomal RNA (274 nucleotides) under uncultured bacterium. RNAcentral's name for it is "partial 16S ribosomal RNA". It matches the Rfam family "Bacterial small subunit ribosomal RNA", at positions 523 to 796 of the family's 1533-position model. The record is from RNAcentral.
AGACAGAGGGUGCAAGCGUUGUUCGGAAUUAUUGGGCGUAAAGCGCACGUAGGCGGUCAGGUAUGUCGGGUGUGAAAGCCCAGGGCUCAACCCUGGAAGUGCACUCGAAACUGCCUGACUUGAGUCCCGGAGAGGGUGGUGGAAUUCCUGGUGUAGAGGUGAAAUUCGUAGAUAUCAGGAGGAACAUCCGUGGCGAAGGCGACCACCUGGACGGUGACUGACGCUGAGGUGCGAAAGCGUGGGGAGCAAACAGGAUUAGAAACCCCAGUAGUCC